ACACACACGNAAAACUCUCUCUCUCUCUCUCUCUCUCUCUCUCUCUAUAUAUAUAUAUAUAUAUAUAUAUAUAUAUGUGUGUGUGUGUGUGUGUGUGUGUGUGUGAGAGAGAGAGAGAGAGAGAGAGAGAGAGAGAUUGCUUUUCAUG
This 148-nucleotide microRNA precursor is filed under the name Marmota monax (woodchuck). The record is from RNAcentral. Lineage: Eukaryota; Metazoa; Chordata; Mammalia; Rodentia; Sciuridae.